UGGGGAAUAUUGCGCAAUGGGGGAAACCCUGACGCAGCAACGCCGCGUGAAGGAUGAAGUAUUUCGGUAUGUAAACUUCGAAAGAAUAGGAAGAAUAAAUGACGGUACUAUUUAUAAGGUCCGGCUAACUACGUGCCAGCAGCCGCGGUAAUACGUAGGGACCAAGCGUUGUUCGGAUUUACUGGGCGUAAAGGGCGCGUAGGCGGCAUGACAAGUCACUUGUGAAAUCUCUGGGCUUAACCCAGAGUGGCCAAGUGAUACUGUCGCGCUAGAGUGCAGAAGGGGCAAUCGGAAUUCUUGGUGUAGCGGUGAAAUGCGUAGAUAUCAAGAGGAACACCUGAGGUGAAGACGGGUUGCUGGGCUGACACUGACGCUGAGGCGCGAAAGCCAGGGGAGCAAACGGGAUUAGAUACC
Molecule: ribosomal RNA, 414 nt
Filed under: uncultured bacterium
Lineage: Bacteria
Description: bacterial SSU rRNA
Rfam family: Bacterial small subunit ribosomal RNA
Source: RNAcentral